RNAcentral lists this long non-coding RNA (576 nucleotides) under Elaeis guineensis (African oil palm). RNAcentral's name for it is "long non-coding RNA (EGUI_LNC052336)". The record is from RNAcentral. Lineage: Eukaryota; Viridiplantae; Streptophyta; Magnoliopsida; Arecales; Arecaceae.
UCCUCCAACAGAAAGUUUUCGUUCAAGCUUCAUGACUUCUGUCUGUAGCAUCAACACCUAAGGCACCCAACAACAGCCCAUCAGCAACCUUGAAAACAUCCGAGCUUCAUGACUUCUAUCUGCAGCAUCAACGCCUAAGGUACCCAACAACAGCCCGUCAGCAACCUCGAAAACAUCUGAGCUUCUCUCAGAUUGCUGAGACAGAGAGUUAUUUCACUCCACCAGACGUCCAAACCGAGCUUCAUCUGUCCAGCCCGAACUUUCUGGCAAGUCGUGACAACGGACACCACUCCACUCUCCAUAACAAACUUUACGUGGCCCCACCACUCUCUGACAAGUCACGACAACGGACACCACUCCAAUCUCCGUAACAAACUCCACAUGGCCCCGAACGGUCCACUGACACCAUUACUCUCCGUAACAAACUCCACGUGGCCCCGAACGGCCCACUACUAGGCAAUUAGGAAUGUCGCUGUCAAUCAGUUAUGCUCUCCCAUCUAUAAAAGAGACCCCCCAGAUAUGUUCUUCUCUAAGCUCUAAACUCUAUCUCGAGACUCUGCUAAAAUCCCAUUUGGG